GAUGAACGCUGGCGGCGUGCCUAAUACAUGCAAGUCGAGCGAACGGACGAGAAGCUUGCUUCUCUGAUGUUAGCGGCGGACGGGUGAGUAACACGUGGAUAACCUACCUAUAAGACUGGGAUAACUUCGGGAAACCGGAGCUAAUACCGGAUAAUAUUUUGAACCGCAUGGUUCAAAAGUGAAAGACGGUCUUGCUGUCACUUAUAGAUGGAUCCGCGCUGCAUUAGCUAGUUGGUAAGGUAACGGCUUACCAAGGCAACGAUGCAUAGCCGACCUGAGAGGGUGAUCGGCCACACUGGAACUGAGACACGGUCCAGACUCCUACGGGAGGCAGCAGUAGGGAAUCUUCCGCAAUGGGCGAAAGCCUGACGGAGCAACGCCGCGUGAGUGAUGAAGGUCUUCGGAUCGCAAAACUCUGUUAUUAGGGAAGAACAUAUGUGUAAGUAACUGUGCACAUCUUGACGGUACCUAAUCAGAAAGCCACGGCUAACUACGUGCCAGCAGCCGCGGUAAUACGUAGGUGGCAAGCGUUAUCCGGAAUUAUUGGGCGUAAAGCGCGCGUAGGCGGUUUUUUAAGUCUGAUGUGAAAGCCCACGGCUCAACCGUGGAGGGUCAUUGGAAACUGGAAAACUUGAGUGCAGAAGAGGAAAGUGGAAUUCCAUGUGUAGCGGUGAAAUGCGCAGAGAUAUGGAGGAACACCAGUGGCGAAGGCGACUUUCUGGUCUGUAACUGACGCUGAUGUGCGAAAGCGUGGGGAUCAAACAGGAUUAGAUACCCUGGUAGUCCACGCCGUAAACGAUGAGUGCUAAGUGUUAGGGGGUUUCCGCCCCUUAGCGCUGCAGCUAACGCAUUAAGCACUCCGCCUGGGGAGUACGACCGCAAGGUUGAAACUCAAAGGAAUUGACGGGGACCCGCACAAGCGGUGGAGCAUGUGGUUUAAUUCGAAGCAACGCGAAGAACCUUACCACAUCUUGACAUCCUUUGACAACUCUAGAGAUAGAGCCUUCCCCUUCGGGGGACAAAGUGACAGGUGGUGCAUGGUUGUCGUCAGCUCGUGUCGUGAGAUGUUGGGUUAAGUCCCGCAACGAGCGCAACCCUUAAGCUUAGUUGCCAUCAUUAAGUUGGGCACUCUAAGUUGACUGCCGGUGACAAACCGGAGGAAGGUGGGGAUGACGUCAAAUCAUCAUGCCCCUUAUGAUCUGGGCUACACACGUGCUACAAUGGACAAUACAAAGGGCAGCGAAACCGCGAGGUCAAGCAAAUCCCAUAAAGUUGUUCUCAGUUCGGAUUGUAGUCUGCAACUCGACUACAUGAAGCUGGAAUCGCUAGUAAUCGUAGAUCAGCAUGCUACGGUGAAUACGUUCCCGGGUCU
This 1372-nucleotide ribosomal RNA is filed under the name uncultured bacterium. Its description in RNAcentral is "bacterial SSU rRNA". It matches the Rfam family "Bacterial small subunit ribosomal RNA", at positions 28 to 1381 of the family's 1533-position model. The record is from RNAcentral.